Beta vulgaris subsp. vulgaris (sugar beet) is the source of this 106-nucleotide non-coding RNA. Lineage: Eukaryota; Viridiplantae; Streptophyta; Magnoliopsida; Caryophyllales; Amaranthaceae. The record is from Rfam.
UAAUGAAGGAAGCAUGGUAAUGUACACAGAGAUUGAUAAUUUAGGUCAACAUGUCUGCUCCCUUGGAUUUAAUUCAUGAUAUGGGGGCCUGGUUAAACCUACAUUU